AGUGAACGCUGGCGGUAGGCCUAACACAUGCAAGUCGAACGGGGCAGCAAUGCCUAGUGGCGGACGGGUGAGGAAUACGUAGGAAUCUGCCCUUAAGUGGGGGAUAACCAGGGGAAACCCUGACUAAUACCGCAUGAUCUCUUCGGAGCAAAGAGGGGGACCGCAAGGCCUCUCGCUUCUGGAUGAGCCUACGUCUGAUUAGCUAGUUGGUAGGGUAAAGGCCUACCAAGGCGACGAUCAGUAACUGGUCUGAGAGGAUGAUCAGUCACACCGGAACUGGGACACGGUCCGGACUUCUACGGGAGGCAGCAGUGGGGAAUAUUGGACAAUGGGCGCAAGCCUGAUCCAGCAAUGCCGCGUGUGUGAAGAAGGCCUUCGGGUUGUAAAGCACUUUAGCCUGGAAAGAAAAAACUUUGGUUAACACCCAAAGUCUUGACGGUACCAGGAGAAUAAGCACCGGCUAACUCUGUGCCAGCAGCCGCCGUAA
RNAcentral lists this ribosomal RNA (487 nucleotides) under uncultured bacterium. RNAcentral describes it as "partial 16S ribosomal RNA". It matches the Rfam family "Bacterial small subunit ribosomal RNA", at positions 29 to 523 of the family's 1533-position model. The record is from RNAcentral.